UGCCAGCAGCCGCGGUAAUACGUAGGGUGCAAGCGUUGUCCGGAUUUAUUGGGCGUAAAGAGCUCGUAGGCGGUUAGUCACGUCGGAUGUGAAAACCCGGAGCUUAACUCCGGGCCUGCAUUCGAUACGGGCUGACUCGAGUGUUGUAGGGGAGACUGGAACUCCUGGUGUAGCGGUGAAAUGCGCAGAUAUCAGGAAGAACACCGGUGGCGAAGGCGGGUCUCUGGGCAACUACUGACGCUGAGGAGCGAAAGCGUGGGGAGCAAACAGGAUUAGAUACCCUGGUAGUCCACGCCGUAAACGGUGGGCGCUAGGUGUGGGGAACAUUCCACGUUCUCCGUGCCGCAGCUAACGCAUUAAGCGCCCCGCCUGGGGAGUACGGCCGCAAGGCUAAAACUCAAAUGAAUUGGCGG
Molecule: ribosomal RNA, 413 nt
Filed under: uncultured Cryptosporangiaceae bacterium
Lineage: Bacteria; Bacillati; Actinomycetota; Actinomycetes; Cryptosporangiales; Cryptosporangiaceae
Description: bacterial SSU rRNA
Rfam family: Bacterial small subunit ribosomal RNA
Source: RNAcentral